Non-coding RNA from Oryza meridionalis, 175 nucleotides. Lineage: Eukaryota; Viridiplantae; Streptophyta; Magnoliopsida; Poales; Poaceae. The record is from Rfam.
AACUACACUAUCGAUGUAUAGAUUCACCCGCAAGAUGAUGUGGCUGUUUCAUCUAGGACGAGGAUAUGGCAUUCUAGUACCAGCCAUCGCACGAAAUUAAUAUGAUUCACGUCCUCAUCCUAGAUGGAACAAGCACGUCAUCUCACGGGUGAAUCCAUCCAUCGAUAGUGUGGUU